RNAcentral lists this transfer RNA (74 nucleotides) under Actinoallomurus iriomotensis. It matches the Rfam family "tRNA". From Rfam's summary of the family: Transfer RNA (tRNA) molecules are approximately 80 nucleotides in length. Their secondary structure includes four short double-helical elements and three loops (D, anti-codon, and T loops). Further hydrogen bonds mediate the characteristic L-shaped molecular structure. tRNAs have two regions of fundamental functional importance: the anti-codon, which is responsible for specific mRNA codon recognition, and the 3' end, to which the tRNAs corresponding amino acid is attached (by aminoacyl-tRNA synthetases). tRNAs cope with the degeneracy of the genetic code in two manners: having more than one tRNA (with a specific anti-codon) for a particular amino acid; and 'wobble' base-pairing, i.e. permitting non-standard base-pairing at the 3rd anti-codon position. The record is from Rfam by way of RNAcentral. RNAcentral also lists the same sequence under 10 other names. Lineage: Bacteria; Bacillati; Actinomycetota; Actinomycetes; Streptosporangiales; Thermomonosporaceae.
CGGGCUGUAGCGCAGUUUGGUAGCGCACCGCGUUUGGGUCGCGGGGGCCGCCGGUUCAAAUCCGGCCAGCCCGA